UUAGUCUCAGUUCGGAUUGUAGGCUGAAACUCGCCUACAUGAAGCUGGAGUUGCUAGUAAUCGCGGAUCAGCACGCCGCGGUGAAUACGUUCCCGGGCCUUGUACACACCGCCCGUCACACCAUGGAAGUCUGCAAUGCCCGAAGCCGGUGGCCUAACCACUUAUGUGGAAGGAGCCGUCUAAGGCAGGGCAGAUGACUGGGGUGAAGUCGUAACAAGGUAUC
This 223-nucleotide ribosomal RNA is filed under the name uncultured bacterium. RNAcentral describes it as "partial 16S ribosomal RNA". It matches the Rfam family "Bacterial small subunit ribosomal RNA", at positions 1282 to 1500 of the family's 1533-position model. The record is from RNAcentral.